RNAcentral lists this ribosomal RNA (486 nucleotides) under uncultured bacterium. RNAcentral describes it as "bacterial SSU rRNA". It matches the Rfam family "Bacterial small subunit ribosomal RNA", at positions 15 to 507 of the family's 1533-position model. The record is from RNAcentral.
GAUCAUGGCUCAGGAUGAACGCUAGCUACAGGCUUAACACAUGCAAGUCGAGGGGCAGCAUGAACAUAGCUUGCUAUGUUUGAUGGCGACCGGCGCACGGGUGCGUAACACGUAUCCAAUCUACCCAUGGCUCGGGGAUAGCCUUUCGAAAGAAAGAUUAAUACCCGAUGGUCUCGGUUUAAGGCAUCUUAGACUGAGUAAAGAUUUAUCGGCAAAGGAUGGGCCUGCGUCUGAUUAGCUAGUUGGUGGGGUAACGGCCUACCAAGGCGACGAUCAGUAGCCGACCUGAGAGGGUGAUCGGCCACAUUGGAACUGAGACACGGCCCAGACUCCUACGGGAGGCAGCAGUGGGGGAUAUUGCACAAUGGAGGAAACUCUGAUGCAGCAACGCCGCGUGAGGGAAGAAGGUUUUCGGAUUGUAAACCUCUGUUUUUAGUGAAGAAACAAAUGACGGUAGCUAAAGAGGAAGCCACGGCUAACUACGUG